ACACGUAGCUAACCUACCCUCGGGACGUGGAUACCCCCCGGGAAACUGGGGCUAAUCCGCGAUAGGUGUGGAGGCCUGGAAAUGGUUCCAUGCCCAAAGGCGCGGCGAUCAUGUUUGUUGUGUGCCUGAGGAUGGGGCUGCGGCCGAUCAGGCCGUUGGCGAGGUAACGGCUCACCAAACCUUUGACCGGUACGGGCCAUGGAAGUGGUAGCCCGGAGAUGGGCACUGAGAUAGGGGCCCAGGCCCUACGGGGCGCAGCAGGCGCGAAAACUCCACAAUGUACGGAAGUACGAUGGGGUUAUCUCGAGUGCAGUCCGAUAAGGGCUGCUUUUCCAUAGAGUAAUAUCCUGUGGGAAUAAGAGGGGGGCAAGACUGGUGUCAGCCGCCGCGGUAACACCAGCCCCUCGAGUGGUGGGGACUAUUAUUUGGCCUAAAGCGUCCGUAGCUGGCUGUAUCCGUCUCCCGGUAAAUCCGGCGUCCUAAGCGUCGGUUCUCGGGUGAUACCAUACAGCUAGAGGGUGGGAUAGGUGAGCGGUAUUUCUGGGGUAGGGGCGAAAUCCUUUGAUCCCAGGAGGACCACCAGUGGCGAAGGCUGCUCACUAGAACACGCCUGACGGUCAGGGACGAAAGCUGGGGCAGCGAACCGGAUUAGAUA
RNAcentral lists this ribosomal RNA (655 nucleotides) under uncultured archaeon. RNAcentral describes it as "bacterial SSU rRNA". It matches the Rfam family "Archaeal small subunit ribosomal RNA", at positions 96 to 735 of the family's 1478-position model. The record is from RNAcentral.